Molecule: long non-coding RNA, 628 nt
Organism: Nerophis ophidion (straightnose pipefish)
Lineage: Eukaryota; Metazoa; Chordata; Actinopteri; Syngnathiformes; Syngnathidae
Exons: 3
Source: RefSeq, a predicted model, not a curated record
CCUCAUCUGUGCCUGAUUGGCACACCUGGUUACAGGUGUGCCAAUCAGCCUGCUACUCCUGCCUGCCGCUCAGUGCUGCAGGACUGACUGUCUUCACCAUGACUGCUUCUUCUUCUUGGUGUCUAGGGGUGAGAGUCUGUGGCCGCCUCACCGUCGGCAAACACUCCAAAUGAUGCGCAGGAAGCAGGAAGCAUGCAGGCUUUGGAAGUCACGCACUGCCCCCUGCUGGCGGGGAGAGGGAGGCCACAAACAGUCUGCUGGAGAGGUCGCGCCACCGCUGACCUCCAGGAGUACUCACUCCUACAUAAAUAUAUCAACCUUUUUGAAAAUAUCAACAAAAGGGAUUUUUUUGUUUUCACAUGUUAAGGUGGUAUUAUUAAAUAAGUGUGUAAUUGUUUUGUUGGUAUUAUUAAAUAAUUGUAUAUUUUUUUGUGAAUACAUGUAUAAUUGUUUUGUUGUUAAAUGUUAAGGUGGUGUUAUUAAAUAAGUGUAAUUGUGUUGUUGGUAUUAUUAAAUAAGUGUAUAAUUGUUUUUGUUGUCAAAUGUUAAGGUGGUAUUAUUAAAUAAGUGUGUAAUUGUUUUGUUGGUAUUAAUAAAUAAGUUUAUAAUUGUUAGAUUGUAAAAUGUU